This 858-nucleotide ribosomal RNA is filed under the name uncultured bacterium. RNAcentral's name for it is "bacterial SSU rRNA". It matches the Rfam family "Bacterial small subunit ribosomal RNA", at positions 34 to 891 of the family's 1533-position model. The record is from RNAcentral.
CGCUAGCGGCAGGCCUAAUACAUGCAAGUCGAGGGGCAGCACAGGUAGCAAUACUGGGUGGCGACCGGCAAACGGGUGCGGAACACGUACGUAACCUUCCUUUAAGUGGGAGAUAGCCCGAAGAAAUUCGGAUUAAUACCCCAUAAGAUUGUGGAGUGGCAUCACUCAGCAAUUAAAGAAUUUCGCUUAAAGAUGGGCGUGCGGCUGAUUAGGUAGUUGGUGAGGUAACGGCUCACCAAGCCAACGAUCAGUAACUGGCGUGAGAGCGCGACCAGUCACACGGGCACUGAGACACGGGCCCGACUCCUACGGGAGGCAGCAGUAAGGAAUAUUGGUCAAUGGACGCAAGUCUGAACCAGCCAUGCCGCGUGAAGGAUGAAGGUCCUCUGGAUUGUAAACUUCUUUUAUAUGGGAAGAAACCACUUUUUUCUAAAGGUGUUGACGGUACCAUAGGAAUAAGCACCGGCUAACUCCGUGCCAGCAGCCGCGGUAAUACGGAGGGUGCAAGCGUUAUCCGGAUUCACUGGGUUUAAAGGGUGCGUAGGCGGAUUAGUAAGUCCGUGGUGAAAUCUCCGAGCUUAACUCGGAAACUGCCGUGGAUACUAUUAAUCUUGAAUACUGUGGAGGUUAGCGGAAUAUGUCAUGUAGCGGUGAAAUGCAUAGAUAUGACAUAGAACACCAAUUGCGAAGGCAGCUGGCUACACAGAGAUUGACGCUGAGGCACGAAAGCGUGGGGAUCAAACAGGAUUAGAUACCCUGGUAGUCCACGCCCUAAACGAUGAUUACUCGACAUUUGCGAUAUACAGUAAGUGUCUGAGCGAAAGCAUUAAGUAAUCCACCUGGGAAGUACGACCGCAA